This 253-nucleotide ribosomal RNA is filed under the name uncultured bacterium. RNAcentral describes it as "partial 16S ribosomal RNA". It matches the Rfam family "Bacterial small subunit ribosomal RNA", at positions 524 to 776 of the family's 1533-position model. The record is from RNAcentral.
UACGUAGGUGGCAAGCGUUGUCCGAAUUUACUGGGCGUAAAGAGCGCGCAGGCGGUCGUUCAAGUCGCGUGUGAAAGCCCCCGGCUCAACUGGGGAGGGUCACGCGAUACUGAUCGACUCGAAGGCAGGAGAGGGUAGUGGAAUUCCCGGUGUAGUGGUGAAAUGCGUAGAUAUCGGGAGGAACACCAGUGGCGAAGGCGACUACCUGGCCUGUUCUUGACGCUGAGGCGCGAAAGCUAGGGGAGCAAACGGG